CAGUAGCCGCGGUAAUACGUAGGGUGCGAGCGUUGUCCGGAAUUAUUGGGCGUAAAGGGCUCGCAGGCGGUUUCUUAAGUCUGAUGUGAAAGCCCCCGGCUCAACCGGGGAGGGUCAUUGGAAACUGGGAAACUUGAGUGCAGAAGAGGAGAGUGGAAUUCCACGUGUAGCGGUGAAAUGCGUAGAGAUGUGGAGGAACACCAGUGGCGAAGGCGACUCUCUGGUCUGUAACUGACGCUGAGGAGCGAAAGCGUGGGGAGCGAACAGGAUUAGAUACCCCCGUAGUCCCUGUCUCUUAUAC
Molecule: ribosomal RNA, 301 nt
Filed under: uncultured bacterium
Lineage: Bacteria
Description: partial 16S ribosomal RNA
Rfam family: Bacterial small subunit ribosomal RNA
Source: RNAcentral